AUGCCGACGGGGGGCAGCAGUGGGGAAUUUUGGACAAUGGGCGCAAGCCUGAUCCAGCUAUUCCGCGUGUGGGAAGACGGCCUUCGGGUUGUAAACCACUUUUGUAGAGAACGAAAAGUCUGUUGAUAAUACCGAUAGAUAAUGACGGUACUCUAAGAAUAAGCACCGGCUAACUACGUGCCAGCAGCCGCGGUAAUACGUAGGGUGCGAGCGUGAAUCGGAAUUACUGGACGUAAAGGGUG
This 242-nucleotide ribosomal RNA is filed under the name uncultured bacterium. Its description in RNAcentral is "partial 16S ribosomal RNA". It matches the Rfam family "Bacterial small subunit ribosomal RNA", at positions 335 to 569 of the family's 1533-position model. The record is from RNAcentral.